Molecule: microRNA, 22 nt
Filed under: Strongylocentrotus purpuratus (purple sea urchin)
Lineage: Eukaryota; Metazoa; Echinodermata; Echinoidea; Camarodonta; Strongylocentrotidae
Description: Spu-Mir-137_5p* (star (passenger))
Source: RNAcentral
AGGUAUUCUCGAGUGAAUAAUA